Molecule: unclassified non-coding RNA, 1978 nt
Filed under: Hevea brasiliensis (rubber tree)
Lineage: Eukaryota; Viridiplantae; Streptophyta; Magnoliopsida; Malpighiales; Euphorbiaceae
Source: RNAcentral
CGAUUAAUAAGAUUUAAAAUUUUGCACAAAUGACCACUCACCCAUCGUUUCACAUUGGGGAAAAAACAUAAGACUGCUCAAAUGAGAAGAAAAAUAAGCUCAUAAUCACAUAAAUGUCUGACAAUUGUCAAAGCCACAUUAUCAAUAAAAUAUCAGAAGCAAGAAGGCUAAAUGUCUUUCAAUCGUUCCUGAGAUCACCAAAACCAUCAAAGUAUCAAAUUUUGCUUUCGAACAAACAACUAGUCAUGGCAGGAUGUAUCUAUGCUGUUCAAGGCAAGUGAAGCAGAUACUCCUUAACAGAUAAUUAACUUGGCUAACGCACCAAAUAUCGCUCAGUAUGACUUCCCGCAGUGUAUCAAGCUUCCAGCACCCAAGAAAAGACCAAAAAUGGCAGCACUGCCUAGUGUUGUUUGUCCAAUAUGCCUGAUCUUCAAAAGUCCUGGCACCUUAUACCUGAUUGCCUCAUAUGUCCCAUAUACAGCCCCUGGACAGAAAACACAACAUUAGUAAUAUAAUCAUCAAGCAUAGAUAGCUACACUUCUUCAGUUAGAUAUAUAAACAGAAUGCAAAUAGAUUUAUAUUCAUGGACAAAAAAAUACCAGAAAUCUCAUUGAUUUAAUAAUGUUAUGAUGUGAAAAAUUUAAAUGCCAAACAAGAUCAAGAUCCACUAACCAUUAUGCAAACUACAUGAGCAUAUAUUUUCAAUGUUAAGGCGGGUUUUAUUGCAUGAUCAAUGUGGGAACUUUAUAGUCAGAAUUAAGAAAUGCAUUUUAUUAUUUCCAAAAUACUCUCUCCCUCAAAGCAGUAUAUUAAGCAGCGUAUAUCACUCAGUAUCACAUAACAUGUCAAGUAGUUUCACUUAAUUAGAGACAUGGCAGAAAAUGAUCGUCAUGUAGCAUCAGCUGUGAGAAACAUAAGCAUGCUUUAUAUCCAAAAAAGAGGUAAAUAAAUAUCAAUCCAUCACAGCCUGGCUUGAGUUUGCUGCAAAUAUUUGAACCUAUUUUGCAUUAUGAACUUCUUCUGUAUUUCCUUUGGCAAAGUCAAUUUUAUAUUUACUUUCUCGAAUCAUAAAACAAACAUAAAUAUUUUACAUCCGAGCUUUUUCCUUAUUAUAAACAUUAAAGUCAGAAGAAGGCCUCAUAUCCACACAGUGAUCAGAAAGACAAUACACAAUAGAUUCAAUCACUAACUUUAAACAAAACCCAUCAUUUCUAACUAGAAACACACAAAUGAUAACAUUACCUUGAUCCAAUCAUUAAAGACACUAAUAUCACUAAACAUAUUACAAAUUGAGCCUCUAAGAGUUUAAGUUCCAGCUCUGCAACCACAUGGGUGUACCAAACAGUUGAAAAUCUGACCAACCCAAGCUUCCCUUCUCUUCCACCAACUCUAAUCUUAUUUCCACCGUUCUCAAUCUAAUAGUUCCAAGAGCACUUCUAAGGACUUUGCAAGUAAAAACACUAUAGUUCAAUUAAUAACAAAUUAUAAUAACCCUAAUCAACACAUCUUCCAAACCCAAGAUACCAAUCACAUGCUUCUUAUGUCUUUAAAAAACAAUUGUCAUUUCUUUAAACCCAUAUUCUGGACACAGCACCAGCAAAAAAAGACUUCUAUUUUCCAAUUAGAUAAUAAGUUCCUACACUUUACUGCUCCUAAUAUGAUAUUUUCUUAAAACCAAAUUCCAAAAACCAAUGUGAUAAUUGACAUUCAAGAAUUAAAUUGUGUGCCCAAAACUAGGCAAGCAGUUCCCUAAAAGCCCGUCCAAAAUCAAGGCACAGUACAGAUGGGAGUCCUGAAUAUAAAUUUUAAUAACAAGAAGAAUCUCUAGAUAUGCCAUAAACCAAUUCACUGAAGAAAGAGAAAUACUGGCCAUCUGGCCCCCUACCCAAGAAAAGCAAUAUUGAGCAAAACCAGAACAGGGAGAUUCAACGGAUGAGGAGAAAAAGGAAAAAGACAGUCCAAACGGAGAAGUUGUUGA